RNAcentral lists this transfer RNA (72 nucleotides) under Camelus bactrianus (Bactrian camel). It matches the Rfam family "tRNA". From Rfam's summary of the family: Transfer RNA (tRNA) molecules are approximately 80 nucleotides in length. The record is from Rfam by way of RNAcentral. RNAcentral also lists the same sequence under 1 other name. Lineage: Eukaryota; Metazoa; Chordata; Mammalia; Artiodactyla; Camelidae.
GGAAGUACAGCUCAGUGGUAGAGUGCAUGCCUAGCAUGCAUGAGGUUCUGGGUUCAAUCCCCAGUACCUUCA